AAUAAAGUGCCUGAUAAAAAGGAUUAUUCUGAUAGGAUAAAUAAUGUAAUUAUUUUACCUUUAUUA
This 66-nucleotide transfer RNA is filed under the name Pelopidas mathias (small branded swift). RNAcentral's name for it is "tRNA-Ile". Lineage: Eukaryota; Metazoa; Arthropoda; Insecta; Lepidoptera; Hesperiidae. The record is from RNAcentral.